This 502-nucleotide ribosomal RNA is filed under the name uncultured bacterium. RNAcentral describes it as "bacterial SSU rRNA". It matches the Rfam family "Bacterial small subunit ribosomal RNA", at positions 28 to 524 of the family's 1533-position model. The record is from RNAcentral.
GAUGAACGCUAGCGGCAGGCUUAAUACAUGCAAGUCGUGGGGCAGCAGGUUUGUAGCAAUACAGAUGCUGGCGACCGGCAAACGGGUGCGGAACACGUACAGAACCUUCCUUGAGCGGGGAAUAGCCCAGAGAAAUUUGGAUUAAUACCCCAUAGUAUAAUGAAGUGGCAUCACUUUAUUAUUAAAGAUUUAUCACUCGAAGAUGGCUGUGCGGCUGAUUAGGUAGUUGGCGGGUAAAGGCCUACCAAGCCUGCGAUCAGUAACUGGUGUGAGAGCACGACCAGUCACACGGGCACUGGGACACGGGCCCGACUCCUACGGGAGGCAGCAGUAAGGAAUAUUGGUCAAUGGAGGCAACUCUGAACCAGCCAUGCCGCGUGGAGGAUGAAGGUCCUCUGGAUUGUAAACUUCUUUUAUAUGGGACGAAAAAGGCUUUUCUAAGUCGUCUGACGGUACCAUAUGAAUAAGCACCGGCUAACUCCGUGCCAGCAGCCGCGGUAAU